UAUAAACCAAUAUGUUAUCAACUCAAUUUAAUUCAUGAGAUAAUUGGCAGCCAACCAGGAAAAUGAUUGAACUUGAUUCAAAUUUAUAACACUAGUACAUUCUAAAUUUACAACACUAAUACACUAGUACUACGGCUACACUAGCUUGAAUAAGAUACACGAUUUGGGCCAAAUUAUUGGGAUCAAUAUACCAGGCCCAACGGCCUGAGGUCCAGACUCGUUCAAAUGACUUCCAGUUGGGCCAAGUUACAAGUAUGGCCCAUUUAUGUAAACCCCUGUUGAGACAAAAUCUUGAGAAGAAAACAUAGAACCUCAUACGUUCAAAUUUAGAAUCAUGUGUAAAGCUAAAUUGGAGAUUAAGUUACAAUUAUAGCCUACUCCAUAGCUGUUAAUUACAGUAGUUGAAUUCAUGAAUUAUUACAUAACCAUUUCAAACUGAUCUUAUACAAAUCGUUCAUCAGCAAGUAAUCUUCAAACAAGGAUGGUCAAUGAACUUCACUUUAACUCAUAUGAACUUCUAUGGCUAACCAGUGAAACCUGAAGCUGUUAAAGGUAUGAAAAAACUAUGAAACACAUACACUAUGUACUUCUGCAAUUAAAAGUGUUGUAUUAGCUCCUUCAGAGAUGACUCCGACCAACUCGUGGUCAAAUCCAUCCAUGCUGCCACAUCUUAAUACCAUUUUUGAACACAAAUCAUUAGUUAGAUAAUAACAAGCUAUAGAGGAUGAUGAACUGAUUAAUACAAUAUUUAUAACAAACUAAAAUAGUUUCAACAGACAAAAACCAACCAAGGAGGAACACUAAACAGUCUAGAAUACACUAAACAACCAAUUCAAGUGAGCAGAAGCUAAGUGUAAAUAUGACACGAAAAUAGCAAGUGUUACUCAUAUCACUAGAUGGAGAAUGAUAAAUGGAAAUUUACAUACCUAGCAGUAGAAUCAAACAAAAUAGAAAAUAAGCCUCUGAAAACUGGAAAAAGAGCAGUAGCAAGAACAAAUGCAGCAAGCAGGGAAGUAGCAAGAACAAAACCAGAAUCAACCUUGAAUUUAGCUCAAAAUUUAACUUGAGAAAGAUCAAAAUUUUGAUGAAUAGCACCCAAUAAGACCUCUGAAAUCUUUAUAUAAGAGAAACUAAGCUUAUAAAAGAAAAGGAAAGGAAAAUCUAAGGUAAAUUCUGGUGUGUAUUUGAGAGGAGUGAUUCUGAGUAUUAACCUCUGUGUGUGAGGAAGUGUGAGUGAAAGAGUGAGAGUGAGCAGCAAGGUUUUUGGUUCUCAAAGGGGAAGGAAGUCUGUUCGAUUUUUUUGGAGUAGAUGAAUUGGGCGGCGAGGUUUUGCGUAUGGGAUCGAAGGGUCUUGUCGGAGUUGAUGGAGAGGUGAGGCGCCGCUGCCAGGGUUCGUCUAUGGGAGGGGAGGGUCCGUUUUGUUCCCCCGUUCUCUGUCUCUCCGAGAUGAGUGAACUUAGGUUUCUUU
Molecule: long non-coding RNA, 1468 nt
Filed under: Nicotiana tabacum (common tobacco)
Lineage: Eukaryota; Viridiplantae; Streptophyta; Magnoliopsida; Solanales; Solanaceae
Description: long non-coding RNA (NTAB_LNC000218)
Source: RNAcentral